Molecule: non-coding RNA, 1617 nt
Organism: Musa acuminata subsp. malaccensis (wild Malaysian banana)
Lineage: Eukaryota; Viridiplantae; Streptophyta; Magnoliopsida; Zingiberales; Musaceae
Source: RefSeq, a predicted model, not a curated record
CUCGGUCCCGAGCGAGCCCCAAUUUGACGCCACUGAUGUCGGUGCUCACUCCCGAGUGAGCCCUAAUUUGACCCCACUGAUGUCGGUGAUUAGCAUUCUGUCCCCUUCGUCGGCGUUGGACGUCAGAGUCGCCAGUGGGCACCAACACGCGCGUCGCCCUUCUGUGAUGCUCCGAUUCCGCGAUCGAGCGACGCCCUCGUUUCUGGUGAUGGUAACUUAAUAUACAGAAACAAUCUUUUUGGUUGUAGAGUGAACAAAAUGCUCCCAUUCUUCAUUGUUUUGAGUGCCGAUGUCCGGGCAAAAGACAAUUCUUGACCAGACGAAGUCAAUGGAAUCGAGAUUUUGCCGAUUGCAGAAUAGUGGACUGUUCUGUCUGUAGCAUAAACUAUAGCAGAUACAAGUACCCAGCCCGGUCCAUUGCAUGUCAUCAUCUAUUCGGGCCUUCUUCGUAUCCUUGUAUCAGGUUGUUUGAUAUGAAAGUUUAAACCUGUUUUUGGAAGCAAUAGGUUUACCGUACUGCUAUGAAUACUUUCCACUCCGAUGUUUGCGAUCCAUUCAUUGUUCUUGUUAAGGACUCGAGUGAUGUCACAAAAUGCCAUAUCUACAUAGAUUUUGGUUCAGUAAGUUCGUAUGCCUUCGCUGUGUUUCCUAGUUGGCUUCUCUCUGUGAUAUUGGACAAGAAAAGGCUCAGGGAUGCAGAUAAAUUGCUUUCUCUGAUAUAAUUUCCACCUCUGCUUGGAGCUGUUGUGGUGUAGAAGAGCAAUUCUUUGGCCAAAAUCUGUGACCGUCCUGAUGUAAAAUUGAAAUGGACUAUGAAUUGUAUAGGGUCUGAUUUACUUGGUUCAGUGCACCUGCUAGAUAGAUGCAAUUCCAAUGAUUUUCUUGGAGGCUUGCAGCAGGACUAUCACUGAUUGAUUAAUGCUAUACAGUACUUGCAUAUGUCUUCAUACUCUCAGGUCUUGUCUGAACCACUUUACAGUCAGCUAGUGACAGAAUGUGGUCCACAUCCAUCUGAAUGUUAAAAUCCACAGUUAAGCGUGAUGGCCAUUUGAUUUCAUUGCAAUAUAAAAGGCUGGGAAUAUUGAUGCCUUGUAGGAAACCAGUGCAUGAUAGGGAGCUAAAGUCUAAGGAGCCUAUGCUAAGUCCACAAUGUUGAUACGAUGACUAGUUCUGCAGAGUUCACUUUCCAGGGAUGCUUUUUCACUUCAGUUGCAAUGAUGCUUUUGUUAUAUUUACAAUGGAUUGCGACCAUGAAAUUUGGUUGUGUUAGGAGAUGGCUGAAAAUUCUAGUAGUUGCUUCUCACUUACAGUGCUUCAAUUAUCAAUACGCCAGUGUCUUUCUUAUAUGCUACAUCAAAGGAGUACAUGGAGGUGACAUGCACAACCAGCCUUACUUGAGAAGUGUCUAAAACCUACAGUAAAGAAUAUUCUUGUUGUAUUCUGGUUGCUGGCUUCUUACUGUUACUAGUCAUGUUUUAUUGUUUCUUUUUUCCUUUUUUUAAAAUUUUUUUGUACUAUAUCAUGGUCACUGAAAUCAGUGAUAUAUUCCUUUUUUUAAAAAAUUGUUCUGAUUGAUUCAUAAGAGACCAACUCCACAAGAAUCAAUCAGGACACACA